AAGUCGUAACAAGGUUUCCGUAGGUGAACCUGCGGAAAGAUCAUUAACACGUAUCCAAACGUUAAAACCCCCCCCCGUGAACCUUCAUCCUGCUCUUGUAACCCGCGUAGUUCGCAAUCUCUGAUAAAUCAUAGCCCGGAAAGUUGUAGUGAUUCAGAGACCUCUGGCUACGUGAGAACAUUGGAACAGUUACAUUCGAGCGGUAGUUCUAUAGGCAAUGUUUCCCCAAGCGGUCUACAGGAAUCGUAGAAGCGCUAUCCUUGCACAAUCAAUGACACCGUACACUCGGGCAGGAGCUUUGCCAAAGGGUCCCCAUGCCCCCUAAUAACCCCACAGUUUAUUGUGAAGCUCAAUGUAAUAACCGAACAAACUGUUAACAAUGGAUAUCUUGGUUCUC
This 397-nucleotide unclassified non-coding RNA is filed under the name fungal sp. RNAcentral's name for it is "partial internal transcribed spacer region". The stretch from base 1 to 46 matches the Rfam family "Eukaryotic small subunit ribosomal RNA", at positions 1786 to 1831 of the family's 1831-position model. The record is from RNAcentral. Lineage: Eukaryota; Fungi.